CACGGAGCCUUCCGUGCUUCCAGCUCGUUUUCGAUGUUGCGACUUUCGAAUCGUCGAUCGGCUCCGUUAAACUUGAUCUAGAGUAUUUGGAGUACCUAGAAAAUAAAUUUUAUUAUUUUUCGAUAUCAUUUGCCUAGUGAUCGAAUGGGCUCAAAAUCAACAAAUUUCAAUGGCCGUAGUGAGCCGUUUGCAAGUUUAAUGGUGUAGAAAUAUCCAAAUCACGUGAAAUUUUGAUAGAAAAUUCUUUAUACUAUAUAAAACAAGAUCAAUAUCUUUGAUUUAAAAUUUUAAUGUCAUAUUAUUACAUUUUGUAAGAUUUUUAUUUUCAGCCGUUGAUUUUGAGCCCCUUCAUUCACUAGGCAAAUGAUAUCGUAAAAUCAUAAAAUUUAUUUUCUAGGUCCUUCAAAUACUCUAGAUUAAGUUUAACGGAGCCGAUCGACGAUUCAAAAGUCGCAACAUCGAAAACGAGCUGGAAGCACGGAAGGCUCCGUGCUUCCGAUAGCAUAGUAGCCUCAAAAAACCCUCCUGUGGUUUCGUAGUUUCUUACUUUGCCCUCCUGUGGUUUAAAAUGUAUCAAUUUGCCUUCUUGUGGAUUCUUUUUUCUCUUUUUCUUAUCAAUUUUAUUAUUUUUUUUCUUCAAUCAGUGAUAAAGUUAAAAUAAAAGGGUACUAAAGUGAAUAUUUGAUAAAUUUAGAUGAGUAUUUGAAGUUUUUUGUAUAUAAUUUAAUAAAAUAUUAACGAAAAAGCUACCGAAAAGAUAAAAACCAAACCACGUGGGGGAAAGUUGAAACAUUUUAAACCACUAGGGGACAAAGUGAGAAACUACGAAACCACAGGGGGUUUUUUUGAAGUUUUCCCUUAAGUUUUUACAGGAGAAUUUUGUUGUGGCUUUUUAGAAUAUAUUAAAAAAUUAUUAAGUUCGGUACGAAGGAUACAGUAACAAACUAUUUUACUUCUGCAAUGG
Molecule: long non-coding RNA, 964 nt
Filed under: Ananas comosus (pineapple)
Lineage: Eukaryota; Viridiplantae; Streptophyta; Magnoliopsida; Poales; Bromeliaceae
Description: long non-coding RNA (ACOM_LNC042501)
Source: RNAcentral